GACGAACGCUGGCGGCGUGCUUAACACAUGCCAGUCGAACGGAAAGGCCCUGCUUUUGUGGGGUGCUCGAGUGGCGAACGGGUGAGUAACACGUGAGUAACCUGCCCUUGACUUUGGGAUAACUUCAGGAAACUGGGGCUAAUACCGGAUAGGAGCUCCUGCUGCAUGGUGGGGGUUGGAAAGUUUCGGCGGUUGGGGAUGGACUCGCGGCUUAUCAGCUUGUUGGUGGGGUAGUGGCUUACCAAGGCUUUGACGGGUAGCCGGACUGAGAGGGUGACCGGCCAAAGUGGGACUGAGAUACGGACCAGACUCCUACGGGAGGCAGCAGUGGGGAAUAUUGCACAAUGGGCGGAAGCCUGAUGCAGCAACGCCGCGUGCGGGAUGACGGCCUUCGGGUUGUAAACCGCUUUCGCCUGUGACGAAGCGUGAGUGACGGUAAUGGGUAAAGAAGCACCGGCUAACUACGUG
This 468-nucleotide ribosomal RNA is filed under the name uncultured bacterium. RNAcentral's name for it is "partial 16S ribosomal RNA". It matches the Rfam family "Bacterial small subunit ribosomal RNA", at positions 28 to 507 of the family's 1533-position model. The record is from RNAcentral.